This 2286-nucleotide ribosomal RNA is filed under the name Triticum aestivum (bread wheat). RNAcentral's name for it is "partial small subunit ribosomal RNA". Lineage: Eukaryota; Viridiplantae; Streptophyta; Magnoliopsida; Poales; Poaceae. The record is from RNAcentral.
CUGGUGUGCGGUAGUGGCGGGCGUACCUUCCGCCGGAGUGGGGAGGUGGAGGGAGCGGACGGGGGAAAAGAUUGGGUCGAAGCCGGCGACCGGGAGGGGUUGGAUGCGACCGAAGGCGACGGUGUGGCGGCAGCAAAGACACCGACGUGGUGGGGCAGGCAAGUGUAGGCGGUGGGACCCAGCAAGUUACUGGGUCGCCGUUCGGCAAGCUGCAGAGUCGAGCUCUCCACGGGCAGAGUCGAAAAGGGUUGGAGGGGACCUGCAAGUACGAGCAAGAGAAGUCAUAUAAGUGAAGUUGUAGACCACGAAGAAGUCAAGUAGCAUCACACGUAAAAGCGAAGUAGAACGUCCAUGCUAGUAAGAGACGGGUAGGGCUUUUUUUUUUGCUAGUAAGAGACGGGGACGAUUACAUAAAACAUCAUUGACAUUUGUUUUCUCCAUCGUGUGACCUUGUUUUGUCGUCACUUCUUUCUAUGGGAUACAAUUAAAACCAGUGAGAUAACAAGCAAGGUAGUGAACCUCUACAUACGGACUGGUAAAAAAGAGUUUAAACCGUAAACAGUUCAACACUCCGAUGGGUAAGCCCACAAGUAAAGUAACCAAUUUACAACUUAAAUCCGAUACUCUAACCAUUCUGGUAUUAGGUACAAGGUCAGAAGUUAACAAUAGUACAUCAAGUAAUGCCAGAACUCCCCUAAACACAGGUCUUACCCCCAAAACUAACGACGACCAACUUGGAUGACUGUUGUGUCCAAAACUAAAGAGGACCAAUACAUAGAGUACCACCAAGUGUCCAUCUUCUACCCUAUAAGUCUCGAUUGAAACAACAAAACCAAACACCGUGAAUCUACCAAAACUUUUACAAAACGUGUCCAAAAAAGGGGCACCUAGGUCGUGGACAAGGAGCACUGGACGUCGUCGUCCUCUGUGUUCCAGUGGAGGGCCGCGACGACCAGUGCACUUGCGGCAGUUUUUUACCACGAGAGUCAAGUCAUGCACUUGUUAGUAGUCAAGUACUUUUUAUGUAUCACGUCCUAAGCCCCCCACGGAUCAGGUCGAGGACGUUGGUUGUGUCCAGCAACGGGGAAAACGGUGUUGCCGUCCUCGUGCUUGUGCUCACACCAGCAGGAGUUGGUCAAGGAGUGCGCCGGAGACGCGUUCGGGACGAGUACGUACGAAUGUGGUUUUCAUGUUGAGAACGAUGAGAGGAGCAUGAACGUGAACGAAUAAAAGAUUCGUGAUUAGGAUAACGAAGGAGAACCCCUUUCCCUAGGGUACAACUUCGAUAGAACCACGAGUGUGCGAUAAAUAUAAGUAGUGGUAUCACAUGCUUUGUAUACUUUUGGUAAGACCGAAGCCUCUUUUAUAUUGGUCAUGUACACGUUAACGCGCUCUUCAAGGGAAUACUUUCAAGGAACAUUUGUUUGGUGUACUUUCAAGUAGCUCUCUUUGAAACAUUCAAGUUCUACCGAUAUCUUUUUGAAACAUCCAAGUCUACCCAUAUCUUUUGAAACAUUUAAAUAAAAGAGUUACAUGAAUACUAUAGGUCAAAGAAAAAAGUCAAGUCAUGUUAAAGAUUUCAAGUAAGUCAAGUUAAGAGUAAAAAAAGGUCAAAGGACUCAAGUACCUUAAACUGUCAGAAAACACACAUAUACGUUCAAGGUCAAAAGGGCAUCUACUUUUAAUGGGAACUUACGUUACACGAUUAACGAGUACAUACUAAAAUGGGAAUACUAACACAUGUUGUUACUUUCCAAAUCUACCGACUCUAACCAGUUCAAGGAAAGAUAAAGUUAACCACAGGUUUGACGUAUUGUACAUGAAACGUUACUGCCGGCGUGUACGGUGUGCGAUGGUCUAAGCGGCGGGUGUCCCUUCUUCUGGAGAUGGAUACCGUUACUGCUGGCGUGUACGGUGUGCGAUGGUCUAAGCGGCGGGUGUCGACGUUGGGAAGCUGGCCGUUCCGACGGUAAAGGGGGUGUGGGCUGCGGCGGACCCGUGGGGCCUGUUGCUCUGGUAGCGGAGGGGUACGAGUUAGAUCUCAAGAACACACAAACGUACCAUCCACGAGCAUGUUUACGGGGAUUCCUACGAAAAAACAUAGAUUUUUAGUCAGGUCGACCAUCUGUACCUCCACUAAAAACAUAGAUUUUAGUAUACACGAAAAGAGAGGUCAACUAACGAACACAAUUUCCUUCGGUCCUCUUCGAUGUCCUCUUUUAACAGAUACUGGCACCUCGAUACAUACACAUACAUUACAGACGUGAUGCACAUACUUGUCCUUUC